This 498-nucleotide ribosomal RNA is filed under the name uncultured bacterium. RNAcentral's name for it is "partial 16S ribosomal RNA". It matches the Rfam family "Bacterial small subunit ribosomal RNA", at positions 30 to 523 of the family's 1533-position model. The record is from RNAcentral.
AUUGAACGCUGGCGGCAUGCCUUACACAUGCAAGUCGAACAGUAACAGGUCUUCGGAUGCUGACGAGUGGCGAACGGGUGAGUAAUACAUCGGAACGUGCCUAGUAGUGGGGGAUAAUUCCUCAAAAGAGGGGCUAAUACCGCUGGAGAUAUAGGGAUGAAAGAAGGGGAUCGCAAACCUUUGGGCAACAAGAGCGGCGGAUGGAAGAUUAGGUAGUUGGUGGGAUAAAAGCUUACCAAGCCGACGAUCUGUAGCUGGUCUGAGAGGACGAUCAGCCACACCGGGACUGAGACACGGCCCAGACUCCUACGGGAGGCAGCAGUGGGGAAUUUUGGACAAUGGGCGAAAGCCUGAUCCAGCAAUGCCGCGUGCAGGAUGAAGGCCUUCGGGUUGUAAACUGCUUUUGUACGGAACGAAAAGCCCCGGGUUAAUACCCUGGGGUCAUGACGGUACCGUAAGAAUAAGCACCGGCUAACUACGUGCCAGCCGCCGCUGUAA